Molecule: ribosomal RNA, 346 nt
Filed under: uncultured bacterium
Lineage: Bacteria
Description: bacterial SSU rRNA
Rfam family: Bacterial small subunit ribosomal RNA
Source: RNAcentral
AGAGUUUGAUCAUGGCUCAGGAUGAACGCUAGCUACAGGCUUAACACAUGCAAGUCGAGGGGCAGCAUGACCUAGCAAUAGGUUGAUGGCGACCGGCGCACGGGUGAGUAACACGUAUCCAACCUACCGGUUAUUCCGGGAUAGCCUUUCGAAAGAAAGAUUAAUACCGGAUAGUAUAAUGAGAAGGCAUCUUCUUGUUAUUAAAGAAUUUCGAUAACCGAUGGGGAUGCGUUCCAUUAGUUGUUGGCGGGGUAACGGCCACCAAGACAUCGAUGGAUAGGGGUUCUGAGAGGAAGGUCCCCCACAUUGGAACCUGAGACACGGUCCAAACUCCUACGGGAGGCCA